GCUGGGAUGAGACUAAAGCCCGCUGAAUUGAUCCUUCAGAAGGGUAAUUUCACGAUGCAUGACUUAAAUGUCAGCAUGCUCUUGUUAUAAACAGGGGCUUGGGCAGUGCGGUAGGAAUGGAGGAGUGAAGUCAAGAGCCUCGGGGAGGGAGUCUCCCUGGCCUGGGUGCAGAGUCCCCGGAGCCGCAGCUCUUAGGAGAUGGAGCUGGCUGCUCCAGGUCCCGGGUUUGCACUGACCGAGAUUGAAGGUUCCCGCGGAGUAGGCCAAUACCCUUUACCUAAACUCUACCAUUGGAGUCACCUGUGGAUGCGGGGAUGGCUGAAGCAGUGCACUGGACUUUUCUGUAGCCCAAAGUACUUUUCAUGCUGCCUGUCUGCUUUGGCCCUGUACCAGUGACGGUCCUGUGCUUCGAGCUGGAGGACACGUCCUCAGCUGCAGAGAGCGCCGUCUUCCUGACCUGGUGUGACCCACGGAGGCUGCCCGUCUUCCGGGAGGGGACGCCCAGAGGGCCUGUAGAUGUGGCAGAGCCGGCCACACAGCUCACUGGGUUCUGAGAUAGCUUGGGCGGAAGGAGGGAGCCCUGGUUUAUGGUGAGCAACUCCGGGCAGCCUUGGGGAACCCGUGUGGUGAGCGCAGACCUGUGGAGUCCUGUGGGCUCAUGUGUACCUGGGGACAGCCGCCUUCUGCAGGCCGCACCGAGGACCAAAGCUGACCGUGGACGGAGCAUGGAGGCAUGGCCCGUUUCCCUAUCUCCUUGGGCUGCCAGCGCAGGUGAGUACUCCUCAGCUCUUGACACGCGGCGGUGACUGUCAUACUGCUCUCUGCGUGGGGCCUCAGUGCCACGUAAGUCUCACUCCUCUUCAUCAGCACUUGGGACGUCCCCUGUCCUAUUUUUAGGUGUGAGGAGCUAAUUUAGUCGUAAAAGAUGUCUCAUUAUUUGGGAUUGUUAUUUAAUAACUACUGAUGUUGAGCUUUUUGUUGUAUGUUUACUAGCAAUGCUUCCUCC
RNAcentral lists this long non-coding RNA (1006 nucleotides) under Fukomys damarensis (Damara mole-rat). RNAcentral describes it as "lncRNA (ENSFDAG00000030125.1)". Lineage: Eukaryota; Metazoa; Chordata; Mammalia; Rodentia; Bathyergidae. The record is from RNAcentral.